AGCAGGUGCAGGCCAAGCACAGAGACGGCGGAGUCGGGCAGGACGGCGGCGUUCUCCGAGGCGAGUAGCAGACAGAGAAAAGCAGGCGUUAAGCCCUGAACCUGGAGACACUGCCAGACCUAGGAAGCAGAAACAGGAAGGAGAGCCCUCAAGGGGACAGCCCGAUUGGAGAGCAGUGGGGAGAAUUGAGAAGCAGGUCCCCCAGGGCCACACCAAGCCUGCUGCUGUCAGAGGGCCGGGCCUGGGUUUGCCCCGUGGAGACGUGGAGACGAAACAAGCUCAACUACAGCAUUUCAAAGGCGCCUGGAAUUUCUGGUCUCUGUUUUGGAACACUCCUCCUUGCGGGCUCAAUAUGCUGAAUCCUGAAGACACAAGAUGCCAGGACCCAGGGCUAAUGGGACACAGAAGACAAGGGCUGCCCGAAUAAAUACCACCACCGUUCAAAAAAGAAAAAAAAAAAAAAGAUUCUCUCUCUCUCUCUCCCUUUGCCCCCCCCCACUCUCUCUUGAAAUGAAAGUAAUAAAAUAAUAAAAAUAAAUAAAGAAGAGUCA
RNAcentral lists this long non-coding RNA (551 nucleotides) under Felis catus (domestic cat). RNAcentral's name for it is "lncRNA (ENSFCAG00000052248.1)". Lineage: Eukaryota; Metazoa; Chordata; Mammalia; Carnivora; Felidae. The record is from RNAcentral.